UUAUGCUUAACACAUGCAAGUCGAACGGUAACAGGUCCUUCGGGAUGCUGACGAGCGGCGGACGGGUGAGUAAUGCAUAGGAAUCUGCCCGAUAGUGGGGGAUAGCCUGGGGAAACCCAGGCUAAUACCGCAUACGUCCUACGGGAGAAAGGGGGCUUCGGCUCCCGCUAUUAGAUGAGCCUAUGUCGGAUUAGCUAGUUGGUGAGGUAACGGCUCACCAAGGCAACGAUCCGUAGCUGGUCUGAGAGGAUGAUCAGCCACAUCGGGACUGAGACACGGCCCGAACUCCUACGGGAGGCAGCAGUGGGGAAUAUUGGACAAUGGGGGCAACCCUGAUCCAGCCAUGCCGCGUGUGUGAAGAAGGCCUUCGGGUUGUAAAGCACUUUCAGCGAGGAAGAACGCCUAGUGGUUAAUACCCCUUAGGAAAGACAUCACUCGCAGAAGAAGCACCGGCUAACUCCGUGCCAGCAGCCGCGGUAAUACGGAGGGUGCAAGCGUUAACCGGAAUUACUGGGCGUAAAGCGCGCGUAGGUGGCUUGAUAAGCCGGUUGUGAAAGCCCCGGGCUCAACCUGGGAACGGCAUCCGGAACUGUCAGGCUAGAGUGCAGGAGAGGAAGGUAGAAUUCCC
Molecule: ribosomal RNA, 628 nt
Filed under: uncultured bacterium
Lineage: Bacteria
Description: bacterial SSU rRNA
Rfam family: Bacterial small subunit ribosomal RNA
Source: RNAcentral